GGCCGUGACCACACCAUGUUCGAAACCCCGGUUCUCGUCUGAUCACCAAAGUUAAGCAACGUUGGGCCCGGUUAGUACUUGUAUGGGUGCCCGGCUAGGAAUACGGAGUGUUGAGGUCG
This 119-nucleotide ribosomal RNA is filed under the name Opisthorchis viverrini. The record is from RNAcentral. Lineage: Eukaryota; Metazoa; Platyhelminthes; Trematoda; Opisthorchiida; Opisthorchiidae.